UGUGCCUUCGGGAACCGUGAGACAGGUGCUGCAUGGCUGUCGUCAGCUCGUGUUGUGAAAUGUUGGGUUAAGUCCCGCAACGAGCGCAACCCUUAUCCUUUGUUGCCAGCGAUUCGGUCGGGAACUCAAAGGAGACUGCCAGUGAUAAACUGGAGGAAGGUGGGGAUGACGUCAAGUCAUCAUGGCCCUUACGACCAGGGCUACACACGUGCUACAAUGGCGCAUA
Molecule: ribosomal RNA, 226 nt
Filed under: Salmonella enterica subsp. enterica serovar Agona
Lineage: Bacteria; Pseudomonadati; Pseudomonadota; Gammaproteobacteria; Enterobacterales; Enterobacteriaceae
Also listed under: 1 other name
Description: partial 16S ribosomal RNA
Rfam family: Bacterial small subunit ribosomal RNA
Source: RNAcentral